This 496-nucleotide ribosomal RNA is filed under the name uncultured bacterium. RNAcentral's name for it is "partial 16S ribosomal RNA". It matches the Rfam family "Bacterial small subunit ribosomal RNA", at positions 899 to 1397 of the family's 1533-position model. The record is from RNAcentral.
ACUCAAAUGAAUUGACGGGGGCCCGCACAAGCAGUGGAGCAUGUGGUUUAAUUCGAUGCUACGCGAAAAACCUUACCAGGGUUUGACAUCCCAGUGUAAUCCUUUAGAAAUAGAGGACCCCUUCGGGCACUGGUGACAGGUGGUGCAUGGUUGUCGUCAGCUCGUGCCGUGAGGUGUUGGAUUAAGUUCCGCAACGAGCGCAACCCUCGUUGCUAGUUGCCAUCAUUAAGUUGGGCACUCUAGCGAGACUGCCAGCGUCAAGCUGGAGGAAGGUGGGGAUGACGUCAAAUCAUCAUGCCCCUUACAUCCUGGGCUACACACGUGCUACAAUGGCCGGUACAACAGGUUGCUACCUCGCGAGAGGAUGCGAAUCCCCAAAGCCGGUCUCAGUUCGGAUUGCAGGCUGCAACUCGCCUGCAUGAAGCUGGAAUUGCUAGUAACCGUGGAUCAGCAUGCCGCGGUGAAUACGUACUCGGGCCUUGUACACACCGCCCGU